GUGGACUUUAGUUUCGGAUGAAUUUUAACAUUACCAUUUUCGGUCCGUAUCUUCUUCCCUUUUUGAGAUCCUUCGGCUUCUGAGUGUGCUUCAUCUUCCGGCGAGUCGUUUUUGAUUCUCGAUCUCUUGGAUUCCUCAACCGAUCUAUACUGACGAAACAACUCAUCUUCAUGUAACGCGCAUUCCAUCUUCCUAUAUAUAGAGAUCCUAUGUGUGUUACGAAAAUGACUUCAUCAGCUGCUCCAGUCACUAACGCCACCGUCGCCUACUCUUCUUUCGCCUCUCUUCGCCUCAGAAGAACUGCUCUGUCAGUUGUUGCUGACCUCAUCUGCUUCUGAGAUGCUCUCGAUGUCGCUCAUAAACUCUUUUUUCUUUCUCUCAGCUACGGUCCGGAGAUUACGCCGGAACGGCAUUCAAUUGGCGCAGUAGUUUAAUAUUUAUAUAUCAUGAAAAUUGAUGGUUCCGUUAGAUUUGUUUGUUGUGCUGUUUUGUUGGAAUCCUUAUGAAGAGUUAUAUGUGGUCCUGCAGAUGGAAUCCUCACAAAAGAAAUAUUUUUUGGGUUUCUGUUCAGCUUCAGGUAAAGAUCGUUUCCAAGGCUGAUGACUUCCAGAAUCAGGCUCAGCCUCUUGAAGAUCUUGCAAGAAGGCUUAAAUCACAUGUAUUCUCCGUUGCUGACCCUUCCCAUAUAUAUUUAGUUCUGUAUAUUUUCUUUUCAUGUGUGUAUUUUUGCUUGCAUCUUAUGUUUAUAUAUGUAAAAAGUUUGAACCUUGCGUUGUCAUUCUUGACUUUAUUGAGAGUAGAAGAUGCAAACAGAACGGCUGUAAGUUUCUGAUGCUUGACACAUGAUUGACGCUGUCAUCUACUGAUGAUAAAGCUACAAGAAAAUGUGGAUUAAUCCAUUUUUUUCUUAAACAUGUAACUGUCUUUGAUAUAGUGGAGCUGUACAUAGGCAGCUUGAUUUACAUGGACUCAAUCUGGCAGCAGACGAUGCCUCAUCAGUCUUCUAAUGAGUAGGGGGUGUCCCGCUCUUAUGGGUUUGGUAUUGACAAUGUAGGCUCAGACCCAUCUGCUAAUGCCUCUCAAGAUUACCAUGGAAGCUACAGUGUUGGAGUAAAUAGACAAACAAAUAGAGGUAUUGAAGCAUAGAGAAAAGUCGAUGAAGAAAGUGAUACUUGUAGAUCAAGAAAGAACAAUGUCCCUUGCAGAGUUGUAAUUUAUUAUCAUCCAAAGUAGAGAAAGAGAUACCAACUUUCUUCAUCACAGUGAGUUUCUGUUUUUUUGUUGUUGUUUUGUUUCUUCUGUAUCUAAUUCUUACAUAAAGAUAAGAUCUGAUAAGUAGCUGCAAAGAUGCAAGAUGGGAUGAUAAAAGAUUUGGUUUCUGCGUUUGUCUCCAUAGCAAUAACUAAAGAUAGUUGAUUCUCGAUCACUAUUCUUUAGGUUUUCACGUCU
Molecule: long non-coding RNA, 1449 nt
Organism: Raphanus sativus (radish)
Lineage: Eukaryota; Viridiplantae; Streptophyta; Magnoliopsida; Brassicales; Brassicaceae
Exons: 4
Source: RefSeq, a predicted model, not a curated record